RNAcentral lists this ribosomal RNA (494 nucleotides) under uncultured bacterium. Its description in RNAcentral is "partial 16S ribosomal RNA". It matches the Rfam family "Bacterial small subunit ribosomal RNA", at positions 29 to 507 of the family's 1533-position model. The record is from RNAcentral.
ACGCACGCUGGCGGCGUGCCUAAUACAUGCCAGUAGAACGCUGAAGGAGGAGCUUGCUCUUCUGGAUGAGUUGCGAACGGGUGAGUAACGCGUAGGUAACCUGCCUGGUAGCGGGGGAUAACUAUUGGAAACGAUAGCUAAUACCGCAUAACAGUAGAUGUUGCAUGACAUUUACUUAAAAGGUGCAAUUGCAUCACUACCAGAUGGACCUGCGUUGUAUUAGCUAGUUGGUGGGGUAACGGCUCACCAAGGCGACGAUACAUAGCCGACCUGAGAGGGUGAUCGGCCACACUGGGACUGAGACACGGCCCAGACUCCUACGGGAGGCAGCAGUAGGGAAUCUUCGGCAAUGGACGGAAGUCUGACCGAGCAACGCCGCGUGAGUGAAGAAGGUUUUCGGAUCGUAAAGCUCGGUUGUAAGAGAAGAACGAGUGUGAGAGUGGAAAGUUCACACUGUGACGGUAGCUGACCAGAAAGGGACGGCUAACUACGUG